AACGAACGCUGGCGGCGUGUUUAAGACAUGCAAGUCGCACGGGAUAAGACAUGUAGUAAUACUUGUUUUAUUUAGUGGCGCACGGGUGAGUAACACGUGAAUUACAUGCCCUAUAGUGGGGAAUAGCCCAGGGAAACUUGGAUUAAUACCCAAUGGUAUCGUAAGAUUAAAGGUGGCUGCAAGGCUGUCGCUAUAGGAUUGGUUCGGGCCCUAUCAGCUUGUUGGUGAGGUAACGGCUCACUAAGGCAAUGACGGGUACCUGGUCUGAGAGGACGAUCAGGCACACUGGAACUGAGACACGGUCCAGACACCUACGGGUGGCAGCAGUCGAGAAUAAUUCACAAUGGGGGCAACCCUGAUGGUGCAACGCCGCGUGGAGGAUGACGGUCUUCGGAUUGUAAACUCCUGUCAUCUGGGAGAAAGACCUGACGGUAAAUAGCCGGCAGGGUUGAUAGUACCAGAAGAGGAAGGGACGGCUAACUUCGUGCCAGCCGCCGCCGUAA
RNAcentral lists this ribosomal RNA (503 nucleotides) under uncultured bacterium. RNAcentral describes it as "partial 16S ribosomal RNA". It matches the Rfam family "Bacterial small subunit ribosomal RNA", at positions 29 to 523 of the family's 1533-position model. The record is from RNAcentral.